RNAcentral lists this RNase P RNA (311 nucleotides) under Cyanobacteria bacterium UBA9579. RNAcentral describes it as "partial RNase P RNA component class A". It matches the Rfam family "Bacterial RNase P class A", at positions 1 to 226 of the family's 367-position model. From Rfam's summary of the family: Ribonuclease P (RNase P) is a ubiquitous endoribonuclease, found in archaea, bacteria and eukarya as well as chloroplasts and mitochondria. Its best characterised activity is the generation of mature 5'-ends of tRNAs by cleaving the 5'-leader elements of precursor-tRNAs. The record is from RNAcentral. Lineage: Bacteria; Bacillati; Cyanobacteriota.
GAAGUAGUUCAGAUGAUCGCGGGCAGUGGCUCCCAUCUUCAAAUUCCGCAUUUUGCGAAAAUUGAUGACCAAAUGGUGCAGCUAUGCUGCCUGAGGAAAGUCCGGGCACCAGAGGGCAGGCUGCUGGAUAACGUCCAGUGCAGGUGACUGUGAGGACAGUGCCACAGAAUGGAAGACCGCCUAUGUGAUAUGGGUUUAUAAACUCAUUUUUCGCAGGUAAGGGUGCAACGGUGGUGGGAAUUCCCUUAAUGUAAGAGACCACCAGUAACAUCGAGAGGUGUUAGCUAGGUAAACCCCAGCUUUGAUGCAAG